RNAcentral lists this ribosomal RNA (105 nucleotides) under Parabacteroides bouchesdurhonensis. The record is from RNAcentral. Lineage: Bacteria; Pseudomonadati; Bacteroidota; Bacteroidia; Bacteroidales; Tannerellaceae.
GGUGGUUAUAGCACGAGGGAUCCACCUCUUCCCAUCCCGAACAGAGAAGUUAAGCCUCGUCACGCCGAUGGUACUGCGUAAAAGUGGAAGAGUAGGUAGCCGCCG